AAACUGUGCCCAUUUAUGAGAGAGCCCUGUACAGGUGUGACUUUCACUCUCGGUGCAUAGGCAAUCACACUCAGGAAAGUCAGCAAGGCUGCAUGGGUAGAAGUGAUUUUUAGGGGCUAUAGCUGAUUUGCUGAGAUGCUUCCCAACUGAAAGCAAGAUCAAGCCUUGUGAUUUGAAAUGUCUUAUGCAGAGGG
Molecule: long non-coding RNA, 194 nt
Organism: Dermochelys coriacea (leatherback sea turtle)
Lineage: Eukaryota; Metazoa; Chordata; Testudines; Dermochelyidae
Exons: 3
Source: RefSeq, a predicted model, not a curated record